This 283-nucleotide unclassified non-coding RNA is filed under the name Hevea brasiliensis (rubber tree). The record is from RNAcentral. Lineage: Eukaryota; Viridiplantae; Streptophyta; Magnoliopsida; Malpighiales; Euphorbiaceae.
CGAUUUCUAUUUCUAUCUCUUUCUGUGUUCAUCAUCUCUAUCCAUUUCUCUCUCUCUCUCUCUCGAACCAUAUCUCUCUCGCAAACCAUACCAAGGCUGCCUUUCUCUUUCUCUUUAUCUGAAAUCACAAAUCUCAUAAAGAAAUCCAACCCACCCUUCUUUAAAGUUAUAAGAGAGAGAAACCCAAACACUGCAAUUAUUCACUUUUCUUUACAUUCCUUCUUCCCUUUUCUUACUGUAUCAUCCUCCUUUCUCUCUUUAUCACCACCUCUGCUACCUCGUC